UCCCUGGAGGACAAGUGGUUAGGCCACGGCGCUCUCAGUGCUGCUGCCUGGGUUUGAUUCCCAGCCAAGAAA
Molecule: transfer RNA, 72 nt
Filed under: Pangasianodon gigas (Mekong giant catfish)
Lineage: Eukaryota; Metazoa; Chordata; Actinopteri; Siluriformes; Pangasiidae
Description: tRNA-Glu
Rfam family: tRNA
About the family: Transfer RNA (tRNA) molecules are approximately 80 nucleotides in length. Their secondary structure includes four short double-helical elements and three loops (D, anti-codon, and T loops). Further hydrogen bonds mediate the characteristic L-shaped molecular structure. tRNAs have two regions of fundamental functional importance: the anti-codon, which is responsible for specific mRNA codon recognition, and the 3' end, to which the tRNAs corresponding amino acid is attached (by aminoacyl-tRNA synthetases). tRNAs cope with the degeneracy of the genetic code in two manners: having more than one tRNA (with a specific anti-codon) for a particular amino acid; and 'wobble' base-pairing, i.e. permitting non-standard base-pairing at the 3rd anti-codon position.
Source: RNAcentral